AUGGGCAUCUCUGACUGGUGGGACUCGCUCAUCGCCCCGCUCUCCAAGGAAGAUAGUCGACGCCGCAGUGGUCGCUUCCUCUACACCAUCUGGAAUAUAUGGAAGGAACGUAACUGUCGCAUCUUCAACGGGACCCGCCUAACUCAUGUGGAGGUGGCUGCCCUCGCGUUCGACGACAUAAGACAGAGGGCCAUGGCUUUCGGCAGGGCCCAAGUGGCGACCAGUAUUGGCUGA
RNAcentral lists this ribosomal RNA (234 nucleotides) under Triticum aestivum (bread wheat). RNAcentral describes it as "partial small subunit ribosomal RNA". The record is from RNAcentral. Lineage: Eukaryota; Viridiplantae; Streptophyta; Magnoliopsida; Poales; Poaceae.